UUCUCUAUCAUCAACAAGCGUGGAAGCAUUGGUUUGCACCCAGGAUUGGCUUAAAGUAAAAGAUCAAGACAUUGAGACUUCAUCUGUGGUUACAAAUGAUGAUCUUGACACUCUACAUGAACUUGAGCAAGAUAUUCUUUCUCAAUUAAAUUUUGAUGGCCAUUCGGCUUCUUUGAGGCUUGAUGAUGAUUGAAGGCUUGCAGAAAAUGGCAAUUCAAUUUAAACAAAAGGUGACUG
Long non-coding RNA from Medicago truncatula (barrel medic), 237 nucleotides. RefSeq lists it as uncharacterized. The transcript has 3 exons. NCBI's taxonomy places the organism in Eukaryota, Viridiplantae, Streptophyta, Magnoliopsida, Fabales, Fabaceae. The record is from RefSeq and is a predicted model, not a curated record.